UACUCCUACGGGAGGCAGCAGUGGGGAAUUUUGGACAAUGGGGGAAACCCUGAUCCAGCCAUCCCGCGUGUGCGAUGAAGGCCUUCGGGUUGUAAAGCACUUUUGGCAGGAAAGAAACGUCGCGGGUUAAUACCCCGCGAAACUGACGGUACCUGCAGAAUAAGCACCGGCUAACUACGUGCCAGCAGCCGCGGUAAUACGUAGGGUGCAAGCGUUAAUCGGAAUUACUGGGCGUAAAGCGUGCGCAGGCGGUUCGGAAAGAAAGAUGUGAAAUCCCAGAGCUUAACUUUGGAACUGCAUUUUUAACUACCGGGCUAGAGUGUGUCAGAGGGAGGUGGAAUUCCGCGUGCAGCAGUGAAAUGCGUAGAUAUGCGGAGGAACACCGAUGGCGAAGGCAGCCUCCUGGGAUAACACUGACGCUCAUGCACGAAAGCGUGGGGAGCAAACAGGAUUAGAUACCCUGGUAGUCCACGCCCUAAACGAUGUCAACUAGCUGUUGGGGCCUUCGGGCCUUGGUAGCGCAGCUAACGCGUGAAGUUGACCGCCUGGGGAGUACGGUCGCAAGAUUAAAACUCAAAGGAAUUGACGGA
RNAcentral lists this ribosomal RNA (590 nucleotides) under uncultured bacterium. RNAcentral's name for it is "bacterial SSU rRNA". It matches the Rfam family "Bacterial small subunit ribosomal RNA", at positions 334 to 917 of the family's 1533-position model. The record is from RNAcentral.